AGAGUUUGAUCCUGGCUCAGGAUGAACGCUGGCGGCGUGCCUAACACAUGCAAGUCGAGCGAUCUUCUUCAGAAGAGAGCGGCGGACGGGUGAGUAACGCGUGGGUAACCUGCCUCAUACACAUGGAUAACAUACCGAAAGGUAUGCUAAUACAAGAUGAUAUAAGAGAUUCGCAUGGAUUUCUUAUCAAAGCUCCGGCGGUAUGAGAUGGACCCGCGUCUGAUUAGCUAGUUGGUAAGGUAACGGCUUACCAAGGCGACGAUCAGUAGCCGACCUGAGAGGGUGAUCGGCCACAUUGGAACUGAGACACGGUCCAAACUCCUACGGGAGGCAGCAGUGGGGAAUAUUGCGCAAUGGGGGCAACCCUGACGCAGCGACGCCGCGUGAGUGAGGAAGGCCUUCGGGUCGUAAAGCUCUGUCAAGAGGGAAGAAGUGCAUGGUAGCUAAUACCUGCCAUGUUUGACGGUACCUCUAAAGGAAGCACCGGCUAACUCCGUGCCAGCAGCCGCGGUAAUACGGAGGGUGCAAGCGUUGUUCGGAAUUACUGGGCGUAAAGGGCGCGCAGGCGGCCUGCCAAGUCAGAUGUGAAAUGCCAUGGCUUAACCAUGGACGUGCAUUUGAAACUGGUGGGCUUGAGUACCAGAGGGGAAGGUGGAAUUCCCGGUGUAGAGGUGAAAUUCGUAGAUAUCGGGAGGAAUACCGGUGGCGAAGGCGACUUUCUGGCUGGAUACUGACGCUGAGGCGCGAAAGCGUGGGGAGCAAACAGGAUUAGAUACCCUGGUAGUCCACGCUGUAAACGAUGUGAAAAAGAUGUAGGGGGGGGUGAUCCCCUUCUGUGUCGGAGCUAACGCAUUAAGUCCACCCGCCUGGGGAGUACGGUCGCAAGAUUAAAACUCAAAGGAAUUGACGGGGGCCCGCACAAGCGGUGGAGUAUGUGGUUUAAUUCGAUGCAACGCGAAGAACCUUACCUGGUCUUGACAUCCCGGGAAUUCUUAGGAAACUAGGAAGUGCCUUCUUUGAAGGAGCCUGGAGACAGGUGCUGCAUGGCUGUCGUCAGCUCGUGUCGUGAGAUGUUGGGUUAAGUCCCGCAACGAGCGCAACCCUUGCCUUUAGUUGCCAUCAGUUUAGCUGGGCACUCUAAAGGGACUGCCGGUGUCAAACCGGAGGAAGGUGGGGAUGACGUCAAGUCCUCAUGGCCCUUAUGACCAGGGCUACACACGUACUACAAUGGCCGGUACAACGGGCAGCGACAUCGCGAGAUGGAGCCAAUCCUUCAAAGCCGGUCUCAGUCCGGAUUGGAGUCUGCAACUCGACUCCAUGAAGUUGGAAUCGCUAGUAAUCGUGGAUCAGCAUGCCACGGUGAAUACGUUCCCGGGCCUUGUACUCACGGCCCGUCA
RNAcentral lists this ribosomal RNA (1397 nucleotides) under uncultured bacterium. RNAcentral describes it as "bacterial SSU rRNA". It matches the Rfam family "Bacterial small subunit ribosomal RNA". The record is from RNAcentral.